This 1368-nucleotide long non-coding RNA is filed under the name Cricetulus griseus (Chinese hamster). Its description in RNAcentral is "lncRNA (ENSCGRG00015043040.1)". Lineage: Eukaryota; Metazoa; Chordata; Mammalia; Rodentia; Cricetidae. The record is from RNAcentral.
CCACUGCGCGCGGCCGGGGGAUGCUGUGUCCUUGGCUGCGGGGAGCCUGCUGGGCCAGGGGACCGAGUGGAGCCUAGCUGCCCCCGAGCCUCCUUGUGGUGUCUGCUGUGUGCGAGUGUGUACUGGAAAGCUAAUUCUGGUUCGCUCGGCCGGGCCUAAUUGGCAUUCCACAAGAUGGACACCUAGGGGGACGCGAUUGGUUUCUUCCACACACAGUCACUUCCACACACUUACACCUCCACACACUCCCUUCAGCACGUCAAGUGGUUUGGUUUAGGCGGUGGCUUUUUUUUUUUUUAAAGGUCGGGUGCCAGCUUCAGGCGAGGAAGGAGAGGCUAGGAAUCGGUGUGGUGAUUAGGGAAAGGAUGUUGUCAAAGAUGGAAAAGAGCCUGUUGUCUGAUGUAGUUGGUGGUGUUGGAAACUGCGCAAAACAGCCACAGAUGAGUGUUUCUUGACUGGGCUCCCCAGGGAGUCUAGGUGCUGCCUCAACUUAUGGCCUUUUUCUCGAGGAACUGUGAUAUGGAGUGUGUGUGUGUGUGUGUUGUAAAGGAGCUCACCGGCCAAAUGGAGAAUAGUAGCAAGGGAGGCACAUGGAGAACUGUUUAUAUGAAAACAGUCCCGGCCAUCUUAACCAUUCCAUUGUUGAAUUAAUGCUCAAAAUAUAUAAGCCCACGGGGCUCAGUGGCUAAGAGGACUUGUUGCUCCUCCAGAGGACCAGCACUUACUUAGUGGCUCACAACAUCUGUGAUCCAGUACCAGGGGAUCCGAUGGCUUCUUCUGACCUCCAUGGGCACCAAGCAUGCAUGUGGUACCCAUACAUACAUGAAGACAAAACAGUCACACAUAAAAUAGAAUGAAUAAAUAUACAAAAUAUAUCAUCCUGGUAUAUUAUGAAAAUGAAAAAUGGUAACAACUGUUUUAGUAAAAAAGUCUGGCAGUUAGUUUCUUGUACAAGUGAACACAUACAGAUGUAGCUCAGUUCCAAUCGGUAUUUACCCAAGAGAAACAAAUACACAGGCCACAUCAAGGUCAGUCAUAGCAGCCCUAUUGAUCACAGCCCCAAAUUUGGUCUGCCCCAGUGUUCCUCUACAGGAAAUGGAAAACCAACCUAAGGUACAUUCACAUCACGACUGUCAGACUUCAGUUCUCAAACAGCAUGCUAAGUGGAAGGAACCAGAGAAAAGAGCCAUGCCACAGUGAAGUGUUGGAAUAGACAAAGUAACUCUCUUCCCUUUUUUGAGGGUCUAACUGUGUAGCUCUGGCUGUCCUAGAACUCAUUAUAUAGACCAGGUUGGCCUCAAACUUACUGAGAUCUGCCUGCCCCUGCCUCCCAAGUGCUGUGGAAUAAUCCUUUUGUGCACUGUGAAU